This 625-nucleotide ribosomal RNA is filed under the name uncultured fungus. Its description in RNAcentral is "eukaryotic LSU rRNA". It matches the Rfam family "Eukaryotic large subunit ribosomal RNA", at positions 40 to 647 of the family's 3401-position model. The record is from RNAcentral. Lineage: Eukaryota; Fungi.
AUAUCAAUAAGCGGAGGAAAAGAAACUAACAAGGAUUCCCCUAGUAACUGCGAGUGAAGCGGGAAAAGCUCAAAUUUAAAAUCUGGCAGUCUCUGGCUGUCCGAGUUGUAAUCUAGAGAAGUGCUGCCCGCGCUGGACCGUGUACAAGUCUCCUGGGAUGGAGCGUCAUAGAGGGUGAGAAUCCCGUCUCUGACACGGACUACCAGGGCUUUGUGGUAUGCUCUCAAAGAGUCGAGUUGUUUGGGAAUGCAGCUCAAAAUGGGUGGUAAAUUCCAUCUAAAGCUAAAUAUUGGCGAGAGACCGAUAGCGAACAAGUACCGUGAGGGAAAGAUGAAAAGAACUUUGGAAAGAGAGUUAAACAGUACGUGAAAUUGCUGAAAGGGAAACGCUUGAAGUCAGUCGCGUUGGCCGGGGAUCAGCCUCGCUCUUUUGCGUGGUGUACUUUCUGGUUGACGGGUCAGCAUCAAUUUUGACCGCUGGAAAAAGGCUUGAGGAAUGUGGCAGCUCCGGCUGUGUUAUAGCUUCUUGUCACAUACAGCGGUUGGGAUUGAGGAACUCAGCACGCCGCAAGGCCGGGUUUCGACCACGUUCGUGCUUAGGAUGCUGGCAUAAUGGCUUUAAGCGA